RNAcentral lists this ribosomal RNA (411 nucleotides) under Janthinobacterium lividum. Its description in RNAcentral is "partial 16S ribosomal RNA". Lineage: Bacteria; Pseudomonadati; Pseudomonadota; Betaproteobacteria; Burkholderiales; Oxalobacteraceae. The record is from RNAcentral.
UCCCUGAUCUCUCAAGGAUUCCAGCCAUGUCAAGGGUAGGUAAGGUUUUUCGCGUUGCAUCGAAUUAAUCCACAUCAUCCACCGCUUGUGCGGGUCCCCGUCAAUUCCUUUGAGUUUUAAUCUUGCGACCGUACUCCCCAGGCGGUCUACUUCACGCGUUAGCUGCGUUACCAAGUCAAUUAAGACCCGACAACUAGUAGACAUCGUUUAGGGCGUGGACUACCAGGGUAUCUAAUCCUGUUUGCUCCCCACGCUUUCGUGCAUGAGCGUCAAUCUUGACCCAGGGGGCUGCCUUCGCCAUCGGUGUUCCUCCACAUAUCUACGCAUUUCACUGCUACACGUGGAAUUCUACCCCCCUCUGCCAGAUUCUAGCCUUGCAGUCUCCANUGCANUUCCCAGGUUGAGCCCGGG